GAAGGCUGGAGCUAAAAGAAGGGA
Molecule: non-coding RNA, 24 nt
Filed under: Cricetulus griseus (Chinese hamster)
Lineage: Eukaryota; Metazoa; Chordata; Mammalia; Rodentia; Cricetidae
Source: RNAcentral